Molecule: unclassified non-coding RNA, 21 nt
Filed under: Chlamydomonas reinhardtii
Lineage: Eukaryota; Viridiplantae; Chlorophyta; Chlorophyceae; Chlamydomonadales; Chlamydomonadaceae
Description: small RNA Cre_3053
Source: RNAcentral
UGCCCGUACGCAUUACCGUGC